This 482-nucleotide ribosomal RNA is filed under the name uncultured bacterium. RNAcentral's name for it is "partial 16S ribosomal RNA". It matches the Rfam family "Bacterial small subunit ribosomal RNA", at positions 30 to 507 of the family's 1533-position model. The record is from RNAcentral.
AUUGAACGCUGGCGGCAUGCUUUACACAUGCCAGUCGAACGGUAGCAGGCCGCAAGGUGCUGACGAGUGGCGAACGGGUGAGUAAUGCAUCGGAACGUGCCCAGUCGUGGGGGAUAACUACUCGAAAGAGUAGCUAAUACCGCAUACGAUCUAUGGAUGAAAGCGGGGGACCGUAAGGCCUCGCGCGAUUGGAGCGGCCGAUGUCAGAUUAGGUAGUUGGUGGGGUAAAGGCUCACCAAGCCAACGAUCUGUAGCUGGUCUGAGAGGACGACCAGCCACACUGGGACUGAGACACGGCCCAGACUCCUACGGGAGGCAGCAGUGGGGAAUUUUGGACAAUGGGCGCAAGCCUGAUCCAGCAAUGCCGCGUGCAGGAAGAAGGCCUUCGGGUUGUAAACUGCUUUUGUACGGAACGAAACGGCUCUGGUUAAUACCCGGGGCUAAUGACGGUACCGUAAGAAUAAGCACCGGCUAACUACGUG